Molecule: ribosomal RNA, 527 nt
Filed under: fungal sp. 8-2
Lineage: Eukaryota; Fungi
Description: eukaryotic LSU rRNA
Rfam family: Eukaryotic large subunit ribosomal RNA
Source: RNAcentral
CGGAGGAAAAGAAACCAACAGGGAUUGCCUCAGUAACGGCGAGUGAAGCGGCAAAAGCUCAAAUUUGAAACCCUCGGGAUUGUAAUUUGAAGAUUUGGCAUUGGAGAAAGCUAACCCAAGUUACUUGGAAUAGUACGUCAUAGAGGGUGACAACCCCGUCUGGCUAACCGUUCUCCAUGUAUUGCCUUAUCAAAGAGUCGAGUUGUUUGGGAAUGCAGCUCAAAGUGGGUGGUAAACUCCAUCUAAAGCUAAAUACUGGUGAGAGACCGAUAGCGAACAAGUACUGUGAAGGAAAGGUGAAAAGAACUUUGAAAAGAGAGUGAAAUAGUAUGUGAAAUUGUUGAUAGGGAAGGAAAUGAGUGGAGAGUGGUUUAGGUUUCAGCCUUCUUUCGAGGGGGUGUACUACCAACGCCGAGUCAUUGUCAGCGAGACAGGGGUUAUAAACGGGUUGCCUUCUGGCUUCUCACCUAACCCCUCCACUGCCGACAACGACAUAAUCCACCCAUUUCACCCGUCUUGAAACACGG